RNAcentral lists this long non-coding RNA (9574 nucleotides) under Nicotiana tabacum (common tobacco). Its description in RNAcentral is "long non-coding RNA (NTAB_LNC011002)". The record is from RNAcentral. Lineage: Eukaryota; Viridiplantae; Streptophyta; Magnoliopsida; Solanales; Solanaceae.
UUUCAACAAAAUGGAGAUUAUCUCCUUUAUCUCGUCUCUUUCUGCAUAUUUCCAGAGAGCACGACCAAAUAAUACCCCUAACAUCACCCUUAAGAUCGGUUUCAAAUGAUACUAUCAUCUGAGGCACGAAAUCACGAAGCAAUAACACAAGAACGAUCCCCACGGCGUAAGUAUUGCUAUAUAACCUCUCUUUUUCUUUGUAGUUUGAGUUUUGGAAGGUAUUUUGAAGUUAAUAAAAAUGCCUAAUUUCUGGUUUCAAGAUCUUAAAUAUCAAUUAAGGUUGAUUAAUUCAUUUCAUAAUAUUUAGAACUCACGGGACGGUGAUCGGAAGCCAUGAGUUCGAGUUAUUUGAUUUGUAAUGGACUGUUUUGUGGGCUGUUUCGUGUAGCUUUUGGGAUGUAUAUUUUGCUGCUAUUUAAUGAAGUUUUUGGAGGUUUAAUGGUGCGGAGAAACACCACAUAUUGGUGAAAUAAUGGAUUAGACAUUCUUUAUAAUAUUUUCGGGGUGUUGGACACUACUAUAGUCGUUGUUUUUGGUAUGAAUUGAUUGGAGUGUGUUGGGCUGUUGUAAGCUAAAUAUAACAUGAAUUUCGACUUGCAUCUACUGUAGGAGGUAAUUAUAUUGUGCUCCAACAAGUGCUUAAGGUUAUAUUGACAUCGGUUGAGUUAAAUGGAUGAACUAGACAUGAACUAGUGAAUAAAGUUGCUAAUUAAGAAUAAUUGGAGUUUUGGAUCAUUUUCUUUGUUAUGGAUAUGUGGUAUAAGGUUGGAAUUAUUGAUGAAUGACUUCAUUAUCAUGUUAAUGAUACUAUUAAUUUAAAGUAAAAAGUCUAUAAGGGAGGAUGGGGGAUAUACGAAUUUCAAUUGGAGCUUGUCGCUAGUAGUAAAAUAGUUAUGAAUUGUUGUUGUUUUAUGGUGUCUUGUUAUUGAUAAUUUGUAUUGAUAGAUUUCUCUGGUAAUUGUUGUUGGUAUAUGGUAUUGUAUGAAGCUCUUGUUACAGGGGAGAUGCUGCCCAAAUUUAUAUAAAUGAGCUACAAGUUUAAGUUGCAAACUUAGCCUUUAUUCAACACUGAUUUUGAAUCUCCUUAUGCAAUGGUAGAUUGAGUUGAGUUGUUUGAAGAGUUGCUUGAGAGGUAUUAAGGACUAAACAUGGUUAAGGUAUGUUAAGGCACUUCCCUCUUUAUUUUGGCAUGAUCUAAAGUGAAAUGAAUACGCUAUUUCAUAACAGAUCUACUCCUAGAAACUAAGGUUGCUCAUGUUGUUCUUUCCUUAUAAGGUUAUUCUAAGCAAGUAUGUAUGAUCCUUAAAUCCUAUAGAAGCUCAUAUUGAUGGUAUGAUGUCCAUAAUGUUAAUCGAAGGUGCAACGACCUUAAGUCACUCCAAAAAGGUUUAGAACGUGAUUCCAUGAGUUUAGCAUGCAUUAUAUAUAAUAUCUAUUUUACUCUACCGAGCCGCACUAUAGUAGGCCGGGUAUGACAUCUAUUGCGUAACCACUGAUCAGUUGGAUUUACCGAGCUCCACGUGGCCGGGUACGAUUCUACCGAGCCUUAUGAUGGCCGGGUACAUUUUUACCGAGUCCUCUUUGAGGCCGGGUACGAUAUGAUGAUGAUAAUUCCUACAGACGCGUAUGUUUUUAAAAGUUUAUGUAUAUAUAUGUAUUAUGCAUUUCAUGUCAGUAGCCCACAGAGGCACGCAGAUGUUACAGGUUGUAUCUCCUCUAUCUCUCUUUAUAUUACUAUUCUUGUUUAUGCUUCCUGCCUUACAUACUCGGUACUUUAUUUGUACUGACGUUCCUUUUGCCUGGGGACGCUGUGUUUCAUGCCCGCAGGUCCCAAUUGAUAGGUUUACAUUCCUCCUAGUAGGCUAUUAGCUCAGCGGAGUUGUUGGUGCACUUCACUUGCUCCGGAGUUGCCUAUUUGGUCAGUAUGCUUUGGAUAUGUAUUGAUUGAUAUGGUGGGGCCCUGUCCCGACCUUUAUGAUUUUAUGUACUCUUAGAGGCUUGUAGACAUAUAUCGUGUAUAUGAAAAUCAUAUGGACUUAUCGGCCUAUGUUCAGUGUAUGAGUUAUCACUUUGGUUUUAUAGGCACGUAUGUCACAUGUAUAAGUUUUCAUGUCAUGUGAGGUCGUCUAAUAUUUAGUAUUCCAUUAUAUUUUAUUUUUGUUAUCUCAUGACGACCUUUCUAGGCUAUUUACCCAUGAUAUUAUGAUAUUACAGAUACGUUAUGUUGGUACUCGGUUAAGUAAGGUAUCGGGUGCUCUUCGCGGCCCAUCGGUUUGGGUCGUGACAGAAAUGGUAUCAGAGCAGUUCUGUCCUAGGGAGUCUACAAGCCGUGUCUAGUAGAGUCUUGUUUAUAGGUGUGUUGUGCAUCACACUUAUAAGCAUGAGGCUACGGGGCAUUUAGGAUUGUCACUCUUUCUUAUUGUUCUAGAUCGUGUGCUAGAGCUCAGUUAUAAGAAUUCAAACUCUUAAAUUUUAUUUUAUUCAUAGUACAGUGAUACCUACAUCCAGAAAGACAGUUGGUAUGAUAUUGAAUGUGGUUGUGGAAGAGUUGUGUCAGAGGAACUUGAUUUUGCAUCAUGCUUAUGAUGAGCAAAUGUGGGGUCUUCAGCAAAUCAUAUGUGUUCUAAGAUGUGUAAGCUUCUUGAUAAGGAGUCAUAAGGCAAGAAUAUAUAUCCACUCGUAUGGUAAAAAGGAAUAAGUGAAUCGGAAAGUAGACAGAAGUUUCAGCAAGUAAAAUAAGCAAGAUGACGAAGGGUACGAGGUACCUAGUUAAUGAAGAUUAUCAGUAUUUACAAUUCAGGCAGAGAAAUGUAAGUAUUGGUGUUACCUUAAAUAUUAACGGUAAUAUAUACAAUUGACCACACCCAUGUCAGCUGUGUCAUAUGGGAGCUAACAAAUAUAGUUUAAAAGAAGAAGGUGAUAUCAAGAUUCAAUUCGGGUUGGAGUAACCAACAAUUAUGGAUGGAUUGUUAUCACUAACUAAUGUUUCCGAAAGAUGGCGCAAAUGUGGUAGUAGAUCUCCUUGUGAGACACCAAAAUAGUGAACUUUAGAAUAGUACAAUCAGAUAUGAAUACUAGAAUAUUCAAAAAUUUCAGAAGAUUGGUAGUAGGAUCCUAGAAGGGAAAAAUAUUUCCCUUAGUAUAACUCCAGCCCCGAGUAAAAAAAAGGGGGAAAAGAGAAUGUUAGGCAUUCCGAAGAGCCAGUGAGAUGAAGAAAGGGGAGCUAAAAGGGAAAGAAUAUUUUGUCAGAGUUUUCAGAAUAAAGUGAUAGACAAAAAGUAUUAUCCGGAGAAUAAGAAGAGAGUAAAUGAAACAUCAUGAGUAAGAUGUGAUAUAUGAGUGAUAACAGUAAAUCAAAAUAUGACACAAUGACAGAGUCCAUAGUCAAGUGAAGGAAAAUACAAGAGGUGACAGGCCUUGAGGCAAUAAAAGAGUAUAAGCCAUAAAGUUAUAUCCUUAUUUCGAGAAAUGAGUUGGUGACUUCAACGUGAUUACCAGGAGGAAAGGUUAGACCACAGAGUAAUAAAAAUCAGUAUAUGCUGGUGAACAAGAUAAACUGAACAUGAAUUAGGGACUGAAGGAUUUUAUAAUGGUUGAUAUCAUGAGAAUUUCAGAGAUAACAUUUCGACAAUAAUAGAAUGGACAACAAAAGAAUAACCUUUAAGGUUUGUUUAGGAAGAUGCUUCCCUAAAGCAAGCACGUGAAGCAGAGUUAAGCUUAAGGGACUAAGUGUGCCAGUUACACUAAGUGUCACCCUUGUGCGUAAUAAAUUUAAUUAUCCCCGAUAUAGAGGGGUUACCUCAAGGCAAGUAAGAUUUUAGUGAAGAUGUGAAAAAAUGGCAAGAUGAAGAGGUAACUAUGGAAUAGUAAAGGAGGGAUGAGGUAAAAGGGUGAAAGGAAUGAUAUAGAAUCUAUUCAGAUCCUAUAUAUAUGAUAUGACUCCAGAACAUUAUGCAAGUAUGACGCCAGAGAGAAGCUUUAAGUGUUGCACACCCGAUGAUGUUGAUAAUAAGUGCAAAUGAACACUUGAUACAUAAGGAGUGGGCGUGGGAGGUAACUUAAGACAAAGUAAAUAACCAAAGAGAGAUUAUGAGGAAUAUAGAUAUGAGAAUGGACCAACGAGUAGUUUGUAGUUGAUUCAGGAAGAGCUAAGUUAUGGCUAGACAAAAGGUUAUAAGCAAAUCAACAGAUCAUGCAAGAUAAACGCCGUGAAUCCUAAUCUAGCAAAUUUAGUCUCGCAAAUAUGAUGUCGUAACCUUGAGAAAUGUUCAUAUAGGAGUUGGAGUAUUUAAAUGUAUUGUAUAAGUGUUACGGAAAUAAUGGAGAGCGCCACUAAUGAGACAAUCAAAAUUUGAGUUUAGAAUUAACACAAGUACAAGGGCAUGAAGGAAUGUAACUAAGGAUGUUUGUAGGCGAGUAAGAAUAUUGAAAAUUCCUUCGGGUAUACAGUAUAACAAGAUCGUAACUUUACAAGAUCCAGAAGGUCUCCUUAAGUACUACAAAGAAAGACUAGCUGAGGAAAUAAGGAAUAAGGCUUCAACUUAAGCAUAACCGAUAUAAAGAAGAAAAGGUCUUGUAACAAUAGUCUCACUACAAUAUGGGAUACACUCCAUAAGAAAGUGGCACCUAUCGUGAUUAAUGAACGGGAAGUCAGAAGUGAUAUUUAAGAUCAUAUGAGUUAUAGGAAAUUCAAGUAUUGGUGGGCAAUAAGAUAAGCCAAGAAUUCACACAGUAAGUGGCAUAACGACCAGGAAAAGUGAUUGCUUAGAUUUAAAGAACGCUGAGAAGGAAUAAAAGGAAUUAUUCAAUCAAUGACCCAGAGUUGGUUAAGUUGUGAAUGCACUUAAGAUUUCAGAUUUAUAUCCACAACAUUCAUACAACUAUAGGAGACUCUAGUAUAAGUAAAAGAAAGAAUUAAGUCCACGUCACCGACAAAGACUUGAAUUGUUAGAAGAUUAUAUCAUGGAUGUUACAUAGAGUCCAUGAAGGGCUAAUGUAAUAGCUAAUACUCUAAGCUGAAGAUUGGAAGAUAGCCUAAGCUUAAUUAAAGGCUGAUAAGGAAGAGGAAGCUCGAAAGUUACAUCACGAGUCCGAUUGUUAGACUUAGAUGAUUAUAAAAAUCGUGACUCAAACCAUAGCAGGAGUGCUUUUAAUAGCAGAGGUAUAAGAGGGAUAGUAAAAGAACCAUAUUCUAUAAAAGCUCUAUGAUAAAGCAAUUAGAAGGGUACUAGCCUCAUAAGACGUUAAUACGAAGCUCCUACCAGAUUGUGUAUGCACCAGGGUUACAAGUAUUAUAGUAGAGCUUUAAGGCAUGUAUGUGAAUUCCACUAAUGUAGAAGGGAGGUUAUGAAAUUGAUAGAAUAUACGGUGCGAGAUUUAAAGGUAAGUAUGGUAAAUAUGAGUGAGAAGGUGACAAUAAUAGGCAAGGUCUCAGGAUUAAACCCGUCAAAACAAGAGGUCUGAUGAUUUCCAUGAGCUAUAGAAAGCUCGGUACACUUUGAAUGAACUAAGAGGAGUAUAAGAACAUGAGCAAUUAGAAGAGAUGGAAUACUGCUCUAGUAGUAGAAUAAGGGUGUAAUUGUGAUAGUUAAGAGAAUGACAUUUGGGCCUUCGAUUGAGUAAUGAUUUAAAGAAAAGAGAUUUCAUGGAUGGAAUGGUGUUAGAAUGCCCCCAAAAGAUGAAUACGUUGGGAUGUUAUGAAAAUGCAGUUAUUGAAGUAUAGUAUCGUCCCUAGGUGCAUCAAGAAAAUCACUUCAGAUGUUCUUCGAUGAGACACGAGUCUUAGUGACAAUGUAUUACAUCUGAGGCAAUGGUUGGAGUUAGUGAAAGAAUAUGACAUUUAUACUUUAUAUCAUCCAGGGAAGGCGAAUGUAGUAGUCAAUGCCCUUUAUCAUAGAUCUAUGUUUAUCCUAUCAUAUUUACAGGCAUAGAAGAGUGAGAUAGCUUGCGAGAUUCAUCUUCUAGCUAAUCUUGGAAUUCGAUUACUAGAUGCAUGUGGUACCAGAGUUACUACUUAGGACAUGGAAAUCUCCUCUUUAGUAACUGAAGUGAAGGAAUGCCAUUAUGAAGAUCAAGUGAUAGGUCAUUAUAGAGAUACAACCCUUCAAAAGGAGAAGACACUAUUUGAGAUUACAGAAGAUAAAGUCCUUAGAUAUUGAGGUCGAUUAUAUGUUCCUAAUGUCGUAGGGUGAGAUGGAGCCCUUAGAUAUCGAGGUCGAUUAUAUGUUCCUAAUGUAGCAGGGUUACGCCAGUAGGUUAUGGGACAAGCAAUGAAAAAUUAACCUAGAGUUGUGUAGCACACCUCGGUUAUAAUACCAAAGCUAUAAAACAAAAUAUAGCAAUAGUCGUACAUUCAGCAAAGUACCAAGCGAAGAGCUUAAGUAUACCUAUAUAUGCCCAGAGGGACAUCUUGUCAUAGUUCUAUAUUUGUAUUCACAAAGUGAAGCCAACAGAUUGGCAAAAAGCUGGAGGAAAAAGGAGAGAAGAGUCGUGCAUAAAAGGACAUAGUCAUAUAGGAUACAUCAUAGAAGGUAGUCGAAGUUACGAUAUCGGAAGAACUCCGGCCAUAAUUCGCAAGGUGAGAAUAGGACUAAAGAGGGGGGGGCGGAAUGCCCUGGUUUUAAAUUUAUUCAUAGAACAAUUGCCUAGAUGACAAAGGACAAUAUUAAAGUAUUCAUAAGAGCCAUAUGGCAUGAGAAUGAGAAGCGCAUCAGUCAACAUUCGAGGAAGAAUGUUCCAAAGGGGGUAAUAAUGUUACAACCCAUAUUUUUGUACGUGAAAGUACGUCGUAAGUCCGUUGAUGUAAGCUCAGAAAUGAGAUCCUCUUGGAAAGUAUAUAAAGUGAUUUAAUGGUGUUACGUCCCAUAUUUUAUUUUAUUUUUUAUUUUUGCAAGCCUUUGAGAGUUAAUAUUCAAGGAUAAAUUUUUACAAGGGUACAUGUUGUUACACCCCAUACUUCAGAUGUUACUAUCAUUAUAGGAUUAUCUAAUGUAAAUUCAAAAAGGAUAAAAUCCUUCUACAAGGACAAGAAAGGUUUGCCGAAGUGUUAGGCAUGUUAAGAUGAAUAUGAGACAUGUUAAUCAUGAUUUAAAUGAGUUUAAAUACAUGAUAUAACUAUAUAUGAUAUUUGUAUAUGAAGUAUAAAGUUUGAGAAAAAUCGGAUUUAAGUUGCGGAAAAACUGACUAAGGAUUUGCCUUGUAAUGAAGCUUUUUUGAAUAAUAAAUUUUGUGUGCUAUAUGAUGUCUUUUUGGGACAUAUUAUAUACCAAAUUGAAGGUAUUGGAAUUUAGUUUCCAACGCUCUUAACCGUUUGCUCAUACGACACCCGGAUAAAAAGUUAUAAGCAUUGGAAGACGAGCCAAUUAUAGGGUGCCAAGUAGCACCUUUUGACUUUUCAACAAAAUGGAGAUUAUCUCCUUUAUCUCGUCUCUUUCUGCAUAUUUCCAGAGAGAACGACCAAAUAAAACCCCUAACAUCACCCUUAAGCUCUGUUUCAAAUGAUACUAUCAUCCGAGGUACGAAAUCACGAAGCAAUAACACAAGAACGAUCCCCACGGCGUAAGUAUUGCUAUAUAACCUCUCUUUUUCUUUGUAGUUUGAGUUUUGGAAGGUAUUUUGAAUUUAAUAAAAAUGCCUAAUUUCUGGUUUCAAGAUCUUAAAUAUCAAGUAAGGUUGAUUAAUUCAUUUCUUAAUAUUUAGAACUCACGGGACGGUGAUCGGAAGUCAUGAGUUCGAGUUAUUUGAUUUGUAAUGGACUAAUUUGUGGGCUGUUUCGUGUAGCUUUUGGGAUGUAUAUUUUGCUGCUAUUUAAUGUAGUUUUUGGAGGUUUAAUGGUAUGGAGAAACACCACAUAUUGGUGAAAUAAUGGAUUAGACAUUCUUUAUAAUAUUUUCGGGGUGUUGGACACUACUAUAGUCGUUGUUUUUCGUAUGAAUUGAUUGGAGUGUGUUGGGUUGUUGUAAGCUAAAUAUAACAUGGAUUUCGACUUGCAUCUACUGUAGGAGGUAAUUAUAUUGUGCUCAAACAAGUGUUUAAGGUUAUAUUGACAUCGGUUGAGUUAAAUGGAUGAACUAGACAUGAACUAGUGAAUAAAGUUGCUAAUUAAGAAUAAUUGGAGUUGUGGAUCAUUUUCUUUGUUAUGGAUAUAUGGUAUAAGGCUGGAAUUAUUGAUGAAUGACUUCAUUAUCAUGUUAAUGAUACUAUUAAUUUAAAGUAAAAAGUCUAUAAGGGAGGAUAGGGGAUAUACGAAUUUCAAUUGGAGCUUGUCACUAGUCGUAAAAUAGUUAUGAAUUGUUGUUAUUUUAUGGUAUCUUGUUAUUGAUAAUUUGUAUUGAUGGAUUUCUCUGGUAAUUGUUGUUGGUAUAUGGUAUUGGAGGAGGCUCUUGUUACAGGGGAGAUGCUGCCCGAAUUUAUAUAAAUGAGCUACAAGUUUAAGUUGCAAACUUAGCCUUUAUUCAACACUGAUUUUGAAUCUCCUUAUGUAAUGGUAGAUUGAGUUGAGUUGUUUGAAGAGUUUCUUGAGAGGUAUUAAAGACUCACCAUGAUUAAGGUAUGUUAAGGCACUUCCCUCUUUAUUUUGGCAUGAUCUAAAGUGAAAUGAAUACGCUAUUUCAUAACAGAUCUACUCCUAGAAACUAAGGUUGCCCAUGUUGUUCUUUCCUUAUAAGGUUAUUCUAAGCAAGUAUGUAUGAUCCUUAAAUCCUAUGGAAGUUCAUAUUGAUGGUAUGAUGUCCAUAAUGUUAAUCGAAGGUGCAACGACCUUAAGUCACUCCAAAAAGGUUUAGAAAGUGAUUCCAUGAGUUUAGCAUGCAUUAUAUAUAAUAUCUAUUUUACUCUACCGAGCCGCACUAUAGUAUGCCGGGUAUGACAUCUAUUGUGUAACCACUGAUCAGUUGGAUUUACCGAGCUCCACGUGGCCGGGUACUAUUCUACCGAGCCUUAUGAUGGCCGGGUACGUUUUUACCGAGUCCUCUUUGAGGCCGGGUACGAUAUGAUGAUGAUAAUUCCUACAGACGCGUAUGUUUUUAAAAGUUUAUGUAUAUAUAUGUAUUAUGCAUUUCAUGUCAGUAGCCCACAGAGGCACGCAGAUGUUACAGGUUGUAUCUUCUCUAUCUCUCUUUAUAUUACUAUUCUUGUUUAUGCUUCCUGCCUUACAUACUCGGUACUUUAUUUGUACUGACGUCCCUUUUGCCUGGGGACGUUGUGUUUCAUUCCCGCAGGUCCCAAUUGAUAGGUUGACAUUCCUCCUAGUAGGCUAUCAGCUCAGCGGAGGUGUUGGUGCACUCUACUUGCUCCGGAGUUGCCUAUUUGGUCAGUAUGCUUUGGAUAUGUAUUGAUUGAUAUGGUGGGGCCCUGUCCCGACCUUUAUAAUUUUAUGUACUCUUAGAGGCUUGGAGACAUAUGUCGUGUAUAUGAAAAUCAUAUGGCCUUAUCGGCCUAUGUUCAGUGUAUGAGUUAUCACUUUGGUUUUAUAGGCACGUAUGUCACAUGUAUAAGUUUGCAUGUCAUGUCCGGUCGUCCAAUAUUUAGUAUUCCAUUAUAUUUUAUUUUUGUUAUCUCAUGACGACCUUUCUAG